RNAcentral lists this unclassified non-coding RNA (942 nucleotides) under Hevea brasiliensis (rubber tree). The record is from RNAcentral. Lineage: Eukaryota; Viridiplantae; Streptophyta; Magnoliopsida; Malpighiales; Euphorbiaceae.
UGAGAUGUAGCGAGGAGCCCAAUCGGACUCAAAAAUACGACACCGUUUCAUGCUCCGUAUAAAAGGACACAUUUUCACCUGCGUAAUGUAUCUUGCAGUCAGCCACUGAUCGGAGAAGGCUGGUCUUAUGCUCUUCUCCAAUUCCCUCAUUUGAUUUUGGUGACAGAGGCUGUGCUUUCCUCGAAUCAUACAACAGUAACUGCGCGGCAGCGGCGAUGAAGAAGGAAUGGAAGCGAAGAGAACUGAGCAUUUUGGUGCUCUAUGCCAUUGCUUUCUACACUUUCAUCGUCCGUCGAUCCCUUCAACUCUCUCACGAUCAUGAAGCAAAGCUCUAUGGUUUGCGCCCUGGAUGGCUUCUCCCUCCUUGUCUUAAUGAUGUCUCUGAUGCCCAAUGGAGAAACUUUCGCGGAAACUUGCCAAUUCUUACUGUUGUUUUCGGAAUUUCCACUGCGUUGGCCAAUUUCUUAAGGGCUUUCUUGCGUUUAAAAGCAAAGGGGAUGUCCAUUGUUUGGCUUGUCAUUUCCUUAGUCUAUUUAUCAUACCUUCAUGGAGCUUGGUGUGACCUCUUUUUCGUCAAAAUGCUUUCCUUCCUUCACUGGUUUGCUAUUUUUUUCCUAACCCUCUUCUUUUCUGGUGUGUUCUAGCACUGUAUUUAUACUGUCCAUUGCCUCGGUUAAUUUCCUUCUAGUAAAGAUUUGCAUUUCUACAGAUAUUUGCGCGAACCACAUACUUCUCAUUCCUACUUUGGGUUUUCAACAUAUUUUUUCUUCUAUGUAAUCGUGUUUAUGAAGGAUAUUCAUUCGCCACUUUUGGACAAAGGUGGGCAUAUUUGGACAAUUUUCGAGGCACCUUUAGGUGGCACAUUUGCUUUAACUUUGUUAUUCUGCGCAUGAUAAGCUUCGGAUAUGAUUACCAUUCAUCUUGAUACUCAUUUUGAUCAGA